Molecule: long non-coding RNA, 735 nt
Filed under: Capsicum annuum
Lineage: Eukaryota; Viridiplantae; Streptophyta; Magnoliopsida; Solanales; Solanaceae
Description: long non-coding RNA (CANN_LNC020627)
Source: RNAcentral
CAAAUAAUAUACAUAUUAAAAUAAAGUAAAAUAAAACAAAACAAAUAAAUAAAAUGGACACUACAUUUUGUUAAAAGAAAAGAUGACCGAAUUUCAACAUAAAUGACAUAUACAAAAGAAAAGAUAGACUCCGAACUACAAUCUUGAAAUAGUUUGGAUAACAGAAAGAAAAACAAAAUAAACUUUGACAAAUCCUUUCUAUGAAGGGAAGGAGUGACUUCUUAAUUGUUGAUCUUGAUAUCUUCUCCAGUUUGCACAUCGGUAUGACUAGAUCUUUUACUACUGUCAAUGUCCUGCACCAUAAUCAAUUUAUCUUGAAUCAUUCUUUCUAUUUCUCUUUUCAAAGCACGAAAAUCUUCUGUACUAUGAUCCUGAACAUCAGAAUGAUAUACACAUCAUACAUUAGGAUAAAAGUUCCUUGAAUGUGGGUCAGGGGUGUACCCAAGAAGAGGAGUGAUCAUGUCUUUUUAUCUCAAUUUCUGAAAUAAGCUAGUAUUUGAUUCUCCAAUUGGUGUAAAAUUAUCCCUUAGAUUCUGUUUUUUUUUCAUUGUUUGGCUUGGUGCGAAAAUCAAAUAUAGAGGGGCUUGGGUAUGUUGGUGGAGUUGGAAGAUGAUUCUGAGGGGUUGGUGCACGCCAUUGCGGGUAAGGAGUCUGAACAUAUGGUUGUGCAUUAUAGAUAGAAUACUGAGGAGAUGGAAUGGAAUAUAAUGGAUUUUAUGGUGGAACAUAGUGUCG